Molecule: long non-coding RNA, 2357 nt
Organism: Puntigrus tetrazona (Sumatra barb)
Lineage: Eukaryota; Metazoa; Chordata; Actinopteri; Cypriniformes; Cyprinidae
Exons: 5
Source: RefSeq, a predicted model, not a curated record
GUUUACUUUCUGGAGCUUAGCAACAUAAAUUUGUUGUCGCCGAAUUAUUAAACACAGCGGACACAUGCUGGCUGAAUUCGAAGCAAAGGUCCACGAAACUGAUCAUAGGAUAGCCCAUGUAAUAAUAAGAGAAAUGGGCCCGCUGUUGGACUUUAAUAUCCCCCGACGACACUCAGCUGUCAAUGGCCUCCACCAUCGCCAGGAUGCAUGGCGGCUUCUGCCAGAAACACUGGAUUUAUCCUCCUUCACAUGGAGCCGGUGAAAGGAAAUGCCUACAGUCGGUGGGAAUCCAUAAAGGAGGGACGGGAGAGAGAAAAAAAGAAGAUUAAGGCAACGAGAACGAGUGGAAACGGAAAAAGUCGUGGGAGGAAGGCAUGGGAUGAGAUACAGGCGAGCUACAGCAAACCCUACAGAUGACCUCUUUUCUCAUUAAGAGCCCGAGCCUCACCAUUUAUCUUCCCCAUCAGAGCUGCUUCACACGGACCGCACCGACAGACACUGCUUCGUAAUUAUGCCAAAUAUAAAUUUACAAUGAAUAAUGAAUACAGCUGCAUUAACGCUGUCCUUACUGCUGUGAAUCACACCUGCUGAAGACAAGCUGCUUUCAGAGAGACGUUUCUUUCACGGCAUCCCUCAGAAGUCUGUAUUUACAGCAGCGGCUCUCAACUGGUGGGUCACGACCUCAAAUGAGGCUAAAACCAAAACAUGCAAUCGUGCAUAUGUAGGACAACGAAGUAACGUUUCUUUUGUUAUGUCCAUGGCAUGUGUUUAUAUUCAGUGAUAGUGUUGCCGAAACUCCUCUGCUAUUAGGGCCCAGAGGCUGUGGUAGACCCCGCUCCUCACAGGUUCAGGAGUUCACAGCGGGGUCUGCAGGAAGAGGAAGCGGCCGUCUGCCGGUCCUGGCUCUAAUUGCACAUCGUAAUGCUAUGCAGAAGCACGCUGACUCGAGAUGUACAGGAAGCACGUGAACUCUCAAACAAACAAUUAGCAGGGUUUGGCAUCCAUGCUAAAUAUGCGCCGAAUAUAAUUCACAGAAACGUCCGAAACACAUCCGGGUCACGUAAAGCUGUCCUAGUGAGUGAUCUACAUAUAGCAUCCCCUCGGGGUCGACAGAACCCGGUCGGAAAAGCCCCGGUUUAGAUCAUAUGGAGCCGUACAGUUACUCAUGUGCAGACGAGAGCAAAAACGCCGACAGAACUCUUGCUGGAAGGAAGAAGACGAAGACAAUGUGAGCAGAUCAUCUGUGAUCCAGGGCAAGAACGAACCACAUACAGCAACUACAAUAACCAGCUAGUUGAGCUGUGUGAAAAUGUCACCUGUGCUCUCCCUCUUUCCCUAUUUUCCCGGGCAGAGACGAUGCGGCCUUCCUCGGCAUCCCUGCAGGAAAAUGCCCUUUAGAAUAAACGCAUCCUUUACGCUGCUAUUUGAAGCUCGCUUUCCUGAGAGAUUCCUUUCCAGCGCAAUUCUCCAGAAAUGUAGCUCCUUCACCCCGGUAAAUAGCACUACACUCGAGCUCUCUGGCAGCAGUCCAUGUUUAUUAGAAAUUUUGACUUUUGGGGUGUUUUCUCUGCCUUUAACCCCCCCUUUUUGAAAAGCAGGCCUUGUUUUGAAAAUCAACAAACAGAAACCUGGCAAUGUGUGCCUCAUUUUAUCAAAUGGUACACAGCUUGGUAAUGGUCUCCCCUGACGAUUCCAGCUAAUCUAUGCUGAUGACCACAGGGACGCAGAUGAUUGUCAUGUUAGUAGAAAAAAAAAAAAUCAGAACAAUCAUGUUGCGUCAGUUCUACCAUUAAAAGACUUGCUUCUCUGCAAAUUUCUGCACGCAGUAAUUAAUACUCUGGGGCUUGCCUUCACCAGACUGGUACUCCAGGCAACGAGAUGCCACUCACCUGAUAAUUAUUUUAGGAAACCAUGCACAACUGAAUGUGAUUGACAAAUGCAACAUUGCUGUAAUUGCCUGAAGCGUACAGCGAGGAGAGAGAGAGAGAGAGAGAGAGAGAGAGAGAGAGAGAGAGAGAACAAGGAGUUAAUGCUGCACUGUCAAAUGAAAGGGAAACUAAAGAGGAAGUCCUACAGAGAUCUUGUCAUUCUCUGCAACAAAGGUGGACACUUACAGGUGUAGGGUCAGACGUAUUUGCCGAGUGCCAUUUCUGAUCGCAUCGGGCUCUGAGAGCAGAGGUGUGUGGGAACCGGCGUUAGGAAUUACUUUGAAACUGCAGGCUGCCGAGCUACAAGGUGCUCUAUAUUAUUUGAAGUAGUUCAACGGCAGUCAAGCUACUGCUUUGAAAAAGUAGGCUGCGCUACAAGUUUGUAAUAGAAAGUAGCUGUUAAGGGGCUAAUAUGUUUUGUAACCUUCU